Molecule: ribosomal RNA, 466 nt
Filed under: uncultured bacterium
Lineage: Bacteria
Description: partial 16S ribosomal RNA
Rfam family: Bacterial small subunit ribosomal RNA
Source: RNAcentral
GAUGAGCGCUGGCGGCGUGCUUAACACAUGCAAGUCGAACGGUGAAAGAGAGCUUGCUCUCUGGAUCAGUGGCGAACGGGUGAGUAACACGUGAGCAAUCUGCCCCUGACUCUGGGAUAAGCGCUGGAAACGGCGUCUAAUACCGGAUACGAGCUGCGAAGGCAUCUUCAGCAGCUGGAAAGAACUUCGGUCAGGGAUGAGUUCGCGGCCUAUCAGCUAGUUGGUGAGGUAACGGCUCACCAAGGCGUCGACGGGUAGCCGGCCUGAGAGGGUGACCGGCCACACUGGGACUGAGACACGGCCCAGACUCCUACGGGAGGCAGCAGUGGGGAAUAUUGCACAAUGGGCGAAAGCCUGAUGCAGCAACGCCGCGUGAGGGACGACGGCCUUCGGGUUGUAAACCUCUUUUAGCAGGGAAGAAGCGAAAGUGACGGUACCUGCAGAAAAAGCACCGGCUAACUACGUG